AGAUUAAUUUUGUAAUUAGCCGUUUUUAAAUUUAACAUAUGUGCGGUAUAUAGGAAAUUGAGAUUUCCAGAUAUUAUUAUGGAGAUAUUUAACUUUUGUGGAACUAAUUUGAUACGGUCUUAUCUAAUCUUUGUUGUCUGGAAGCAUGCCACCUAAAAUCUUAUAUGAUUUUGAUCCAUUCUUAUCUAAUCGUCGCGUUUAAGGUAGUAUUAAUGGUAAGACUAAUCAAUUGGGAUGUGAAUAUUUAAAGUCAGCUUAAUCAGAAUGAACUUUUACUGGAUCGGAUUUGUACGUGAAAUCUAGUUAAAAGAACCGUGAUUAAAUGGUAAUGAUAUAUUUGUUUUCAUAUUUGCAUAAGUAUAUAGAAAUGUACUUUCAUUCAUCCUUUUUCAAAGAAAAUCAGAUUCAAUAAUCUUUGUAAGAGAAAAAAAAAACAAAUUCUAUAUACGAUACUCAACCCGCGCAGGGUGCAGAUUUUAUUCUACUUCUAUGAUAAAACUAUGAAUGAAUUUGGACCAAGAGUCAAGUCUUUUAGCUGUGUAUAAGUAGCAUGACCACCUUAUUAUUAUUAUAAUGGUCUAAAGAAAAACACAACUCAAAACAUAAAACCAAAACCGAUUUUACGCAAAGAAAGAACCAUGUCCGACGCUCAGGAGUCAUACUGGUGCUACCGCUGCUUCAAACAUGUAGCCGUUAGAACCUUAGACGACGAGGUCCUGUGCUGCGAAUGCAACAACGGUUUCGUCAGGUUAAUCCAGGCGAUUCCCGCCGCUCAUUCAACUGAGAUUGAAGUGCAGUCGUACGGGCUCCAUCAGCGAAGAGAAAGUAACCUAGAGAGAGUAAUCAACCGCUUAUGGUCUAGGCACGAAGCUUCGCCUCCAAAUACAUUGGAACGAGUCGCCGAUAAUAUUGGUGGAAGGAGAGGAGCACCACCAGCUGCGAAGUCAGCGGUUGAGGCGUUAGAGACUUUUGAGGUUGGUUCUACUUCUUCUGAGGAAGGAGAGAGGACGGCUGUGAUGUGUGCUGUGUGUAAAGAUGCCAUGGUGAUGAGUGAAAUAGGGAAGAAGCUUCCAUGUGGACAUUUUUACCAUGAUAAUUGUAUUUUGCCAUGGUUAGAGACAAGAAACUCGUGUCCUGUUUGUAGGUUCCAGCUUCCGACUGAUGAUCUCCGGUAUGAGAGGAAGAGAGCAAGAGAAGAACCACAUUUGACUGUUUCUGCUGGUGCUUCUUCUGUUUCUGCUGGUGCUUCUUCUUCUUCAUUGAUGAGUGAAAGAGAAGAAAAUAACAACCAUCAUGUUUUUGAGACGAGAAGGCGAACAUCUAGGAAGGGAAGACCAAACAGAUAUACGGGUCAUUUUGCUCAUUGAUUGAAGUCAACAUGUAAUCUGCUUGCUUCUUGUUCUUGUUCUUCUUCUUCUUUUUCUUCAGCUUCUCCUCUCUAAUCAUUAAAUGACCUUUAAAUCUCAAGCCAAGAAAUCUAUCAAAACUUAAUAAUAUCAUUUCUAGAGGAAUGACCUUUAAAACUUUUAUGAAAUUUUGCAAUCGCUUGCAAGUCUAUAUAACAAGGCCAAGUAAUAUUGUUUUUAAUAAGAUAAUUACAUACAACUCAAGGGAUCCAGAAACCUACCAUGACCAUCAAAAUUUUUAGAGGUGAAUCAAAUGCUCCAGUGCUCUUAACUGAAGAAUUUUUUUUUUCGUACUCCUCCAAAAAUUAAUUUAAUAAAACUUUAUUUAAAUGGAAAAUUAGUAAAAACUAAAUCAAGAGAAACUUGCAUAAUUACAAGCCUAUCAAGAGUAUUUCGCGGACAAUCUAAACCCGGCUCAUAAAAUUCGGAUAUUCUUCUCCAUAACUUACGAACCCAGAAUGCUAUAACUUAGUAAAUUUGGUGUAACUAUAAAAUUUUGGAUAACUUUUAGUAAGUUUGGUGUAGCUAUAAAACUUAGUAAAACUUCAACUAAUUUAGAUAGUAUCUUUUACAGCACCAUUUCCUAACCGCUAUUAAUAUGUUAAUUUUAUUCGUAGCACUUUUACAUUUGCAAUAAUUUAUUCUUUUAUUUUCUGGACACAUGAGUUAUUAUUGAUAUAUUUAUUGAAGUUAAAUUUUUUUAAAAAGAUAUAUAUAAAAAACAACUAGAAAAAUUACAUAAUGUAAAAUGUAUUUUACAGAAAUUUAGUAAAAGUAGAGAAAAAUUACAUGUCAACACACAACUAAUCUCCAAUUGGCCAGUCACAAGCAGUCAAAUAUAUUUCAUCGUAGAAGUUCCAAGUUGCAUAUUACUAGAAACAAUGCGCAUCUCCACUUUGUUCUUGAUCCAUCUAUGAAGACUACAAACACGGGUUCUUCUAUUUUAUAACACCAACACACAUAUUUGAAAAAGUCUCAUUCGAUGGGAAUUCUGCAGCCAUAGCGUAAAGCUUAUGGAGCCUAACGAUCAUUAUGAAUCUCUUUUGUCUCUACAACAAUCCCAUUCAUAGUCAAAGCUACCAAUCAUGUCGAGUGUUCUCCUAAAGAUCGCCAUCUCAUAAGUGAGUGGUAUUCAUUUUUAUUUUGUGUUAUCAGUUAUGUUUUCAAGAAUCCUAAGUUCUCUGAAAUGAUUUUUCUUCGCAGCAAUAGCAAUAACUCGUGUUCGAACAGACGUUGCCUAUUGCAUUCACGACUUUUCUAACAGCUUGCAUAAAACUAGAAAGUGGACGGUACUGAUUCACUCUCUCAUUUCUAACAGCACGUUGAUUGUUUCUGAAGUUUAAGUUAAUAAACAAGAUCAUUAUAUGUGUAUUUUCAAUUGUUGUUGCAAGGUAGGUCGCACUGAAAACACUAAUUUGCUUUACUGACUUCUAAGGUAAGGAGACUCCACGUUCUUAGAGGAGCUUUUUAAUUUUUUCAAAAUAAAAAAAAGUUAUUUUGGUCUUUUUAGAGUUAGUUUUGUGAUAAAAACUUUAAAAAGUUAUUUAAGAGAAUUGUCAUCUAUAUAUCUAUAACUAUAAAGGAGAGUUUUCUCUCACUUCCUGCAGCCACGUCAUUUAGGAGAUAUGGGCUUUUUUCGCCACGUGGCAACUCAAUCACUUCAGAUUCAGCCGUACCUUUUCCUCUUCGCCUCGGUUCUACGAGGUAACGUCGAGUUGAAUCAAUGAAACCCAUUACCUCUUCUUAAACGACUCUUUUCUCCGAUCAAUUUCACAAGUGAGUUUCAUAGUUCUUCUGUCUGCUAACGUUUUUUCAAGAGUUCUCCAGAAAAGAUCCAAAAAUGAAUGGUUAAUUUCCAGAUUCUAUUUUCAGAAUUGAAGGAAGGUCAUUGCAGAGAAAAGGGGUAAGUUCAUAGGUGUUGACAUGGUUCUGAUUGACGGGAAGAUUAUCUGAUUCUCUUUAAUCUCUUAUAAGUUACUUUAAUCCAUGAUUUUAUUUCAAUCCUUCACCAUCUAGAUUCAAACACCUGCUCAAACAAGGAUCCUUUUAUGAGCUAACUGUUUUUGAUGUCACCAGGAGCAUCCAAAACUUCAGAUUCGCUGAUGCCCCUGUUUCAAUCAGAUUCGUAGAGCAAACAAGUUUCGUCGAUAUCUCAGCUAGCAAUAACCCUAGCCCAACAAAGAGCUUCAGGUUUUGUAAAUUUCGACCAGCUAUUGUCACUGGCGAACACAAACACUGAAUUGCCAGUUAGACACUUCAUUACCUGACCUAUAAUUAAUUUCAUCCUCUAAAAUCUGCCAUUAAUCCUUAUGUUUCUCUGCAGAUAUCAUUGGGGGAGGUGCGGGGCAUAAGGACCACUUAGACCGAGAUACUAAUCCACUUGACGCCUCAUGUCUGAAGCCUGAACUCAUUACUUGCUUCACAUAGAUCCCCUUAGCGGUUUGGUUGUUGUCGUCUGACCUUACGUCGUUUACAUGACAUCUAGAUUACAUCUUCAGGUUUAGUUAACAUGCUUCCCUGAAGUACUAAUUAAGUCUGUGUGUGGUUAGGGAAAAUGUUCAUUCUCUGUGUUGUUGACUGCUUCCUGCUAUUCUGAGAUAUCUAAUUUUAGGAACUGUGGAUCCAAUUUAAUAUAUACAACUUUAUUUGUCUUUGGUACAGAACAGAGGAAGAAGUUUGGAAUAGGAAAACAUUCUCUCUUAACCCUUAGUUUCUUUGUAUCAAACUUUUUAAAAAAAAUAUAUUAUGUGAUGAAUGUCAUGAUAAAAGUCUAUAACUUUGUGUAGUGGUAUUAAUUUUUAUUCAUUUUGCUCUGUAUCUUUUGAUAUUUUCAUAUGUGGAAAGGUGGAGGCUAUGGGUUGCAAAAUGUCAUUUAAUUGUUAAUGUCCGACUGUCUGAAUGCUCAACUUUGCAGGGACGGACCCGCAUGCAUAAGUGUAUUUGGCAACCUCGCAGAGCUCAUCGAUGAGGAAUUAGUAAUGUCAGGUGUGGAACCAAAGGUUGUUGUAGCCACCAAUAUCAACCCUAAAUUAGUUGGAGAGUUGGUCACCACAAGGUUGGUCUCGGUAGGAAGGUUCAUCCUCAACGUCUACAAAAUAUGGUGGUGUUAAGAAGAUCGGAACGUUAACACUGUCUGAGCUAAAUGCUUACAUCACAUCUCCCCACAGGUGACCACUUUCACGUAACCCAUCUGUUAGUGCGUUUCUUGACCGACAAUUUCUUUCACUUUCGUUGGUGCCUUAUCCAAAGGUUUGAAACCAACUUCUCUGCUCUUCCACUGAUAAAAUACUGAAUAUAUUAAAAAUAUUAAUUGGAUCGAACUGUUCUCUUUUGUUUUGAGUGCAGUGUCCCUGAGAUAAAAGAGCAAACAACGAAAGAAAGCUUUCUGUUACAUGGUAUCUCACCAGAAUCAAUCUUUUUUGGACCGUGAGUAUCUCCAACCACAGAAUGUAAUGUCUUCUUUUUUUUUUAAUUUUUUAACACAGAAAUAGUAAUCAGCUCGAUAUAGCUUUACAUCAAAAAAAUUCAGGACAUAGAUCAAAAUGUUGUCUCAGUUCAGACGCAUGCAUUUGGUUUCUUUAAUCAGGUAUUGCAAUGAGGAAAGUAAGAUGAACGUUGUGUAUGAGUAUAUGAAAAAAGGAAUGCUUAAAGACCAUCUGUAUGACUCGGAUAAUCCUAGGUUGAGCUGGAGACAGAAGCUUGAGAUAUGCGCUAAAGGGCUUCACUAUCUCCAUACAGGUUCCGCUAGAGCCAUUAUACACUGCGUGUGAAGUCUGCUUCAGGCCAUUGAAGCUCUCGACCCGAACUACGAACUGGUAGUUUACUAGAACCACAAGAAGCAAACUCAAUCGGAAUAGAAAGACAACUUCAUAUCAUCAAACUGAUCCGUGGUUUGAGCAAAUUUGACGUAACAAAAGCUCCGAGAGCAACUCCAAGACAACAAGAGUGACUACCUUUUGGAUAGAUAGAGAACAUUUCUUUCUUUCAUUUUUUUUUUUGUUGCAUUCAUCCAGAGUCUUUUGUUCUUUUUAUUCUCAGCAAAAUUUUCAGUAACCAAAUAACCUACCUUAGCGUUAUAAACGUAUAACUAGGAACAAUAAAUGUUUGAUUCUUUUGCUAAUGCCAUCUGAUAAUAAUACAAAAGAAAUUCAAUCCUUUGUAUUGCUCAACAUGUAAACUAAAGAAUUUAACCAAAUUUGAGUGUUUUCAAAAACUGAGAUACAAGUUUAUUUUGUAACGACUUCCUUGGUCGGGGUGGGUUGGGGACCAUAUUAUCUCAUUUCUCCUGCUCUUGGCUGGGAGGUCGGGAUAAUGCUUCUUUCUUGGCAAAGCAGUUGAUGGAGCUUUGUUAGCUUAAAUCCUGGGCCCUUUCAAGGAAAAUUUCAUGGGAACGUUCUUAAGUGUGACAAUCGUUGCUUUCUUGUGCUCUGUUAAGCUUCACAUGAUGUCCAAGUCUUUCUAAUGACUACACUUUGUUUAGGUACGUUUUGGGUGCUGUACUGGAGACUUUUUUCAAAGCAUUUGAUGGGAAAUGAUCUUUUGGUAACGACUGAAAACACAAGACACAAGAUUUGUUGAUGGUCUCGAACCAGACACAUGUUAGUAAGACGGUGAAAUGAAGUUUUGGUUAUCUUGAAUAUUAAAUGUAUUUUAAGUGUCUGGUUCAGAAAUAACACACAAGAUUUGUUAAUGGUCUCGAACCAGACACAUGUUAUUUCUCAAUACUACAUUCAAUAGAAAGUUUUACUAACAAAAAACUACAAUAAGCAAGUGUUAUUUUUACAAGUAAUUUUUUCGAGCACGAAUUUCAUACUAAAUAAAUUCAAAACUAAUACAUCACAAUAAUUAUUCUUCUAUACUAUACUUAAGAAUUCAUUUAGAUUUGGGAAUUUUUCCAAUGCAAUUAAAUGAUAUGUUCGUUUUCAUAUAUUACAAAUGUUUAUGUCUGCUUCUAAUAAUUAUUCACAACUCGCAUACAAAAACAUAACAAUAAGUGAUAUACAUAAUACAAAUGCAAAUGAUCAAUAAAUAUAUCUAAGCUUUAAGGAUAUAUAGAUGACUGAUGUACGCGAAGGUACCGUUUUUGACAGCAAUGGCAACAACAUCAGACGAACAAAAAUACUUGAAAUAGAAUUUUACAACUUAGUGUUAAUUUACGAUAAAAGAAAUUAGAUUAAAAAAAAUAUUAUGUUAUACAACAAAUAAUAAUACAUAUACAAAAAAUAAUACAUAUUAGUAAAA
Molecule: long non-coding RNA, 6647 nt
Organism: Brassica napus (rape)
Lineage: Eukaryota; Viridiplantae; Streptophyta; Magnoliopsida; Brassicales; Brassicaceae
Exons: 3
Source: RefSeq, a predicted model, not a curated record